Molecule: ribosomal RNA, 497 nt
Filed under: uncultured bacterium
Lineage: Bacteria
Description: partial 16S ribosomal RNA
Rfam family: Bacterial small subunit ribosomal RNA
Source: RNAcentral
GAUGAACGCUGGCGGCGUGCCUAAUACAUGCAAGUCGAGCGAACAGACGAGGAGCUUGCUCCUCUGACGUUAGCGGCGGACGGGUGAGUAACACGUGGAUAACCUACCUAUAAGACUGGGAUAACUUCGGGAAACCGGAGCUAAUACCGGAUAAUAUAUUGAACCGCAUGGUUCAAUAGUGAAAGACGGUUUUGCUGUCACUUAUAGAUGGAUCCGCGCCGCAUUAGCUAGUUGGUAAGGUAACGGCUUACCAAGGCAACGAUGCGUAGCCGACCUGAGAGGGUGAUCGGCCACACUGGAACUGAGACACGGUCCCGACUCCUAAGGGAGGCAGCAGUAGGGAAUCUUCCGCCAUGGGCGGAAGCCUGACGGAGCAAAGCCGCGUGAGUGAUGAAGGUCUUCGGAUCGUAAAACUCUGUUAUUAGGGAAGAACAAAUGUGUAAGUAACUAUGCACGUCUUGACGGUACCUAAUCAGAAAGCCACGGCUAACUACGUG